CUUAUUGGCAGUACCGAUGAGUA
Molecule: non-coding RNA, 23 nt
Filed under: Arabidopsis thaliana (thale cress)
Lineage: Eukaryota; Viridiplantae; Streptophyta; Magnoliopsida; Brassicales; Brassicaceae
Source: RNAcentral